UAGGUUAACGAGGCGAACCGGGGGAACUGAAACAUCUAAGUACCCCGAGGAAAAGAAAUCAACCGAGAUUCCCCCAGUAGCGGCGAGCGAACGGGGAGCAGCCCAGAGUCUGAAUCAGCUUGUGUGUUAGUGGAACGGUCUGGAAAGUCCGACGGUACAGGGUGAUAGUCCCGUACACCAAAAUGCACAGGCUGUGAACUCGAAGAGUAGGGCGGGACACGUGGUAUCCUGUCUGAAUAUGGGGGGACCAUCCUCCAAGGCUAAAUACUCCUGACUGACCGAUAGUGAACCAGUACCGUGAGGGAAAGGCGAAAAGAACCCCGGCGAGGGGAGUGAAAAAGAACCUGAAACCGUGUACGUACAAGCAGUGGGAGCACCUUCGGGUGUGACUGCGUACCUUUUGUAUAAUGGGUCAGCGACUUAUAUUCUGUAGCAAGGUUAACCGUAUAGGGGAGCCGCAGGGAAACCGAGUCUUAACUGGGCGUUAAGUUGCAGGGUAUAGACCCGAAACCCGGUGAUCUAGCCAUGGGCAGGUUGAAGGUUGGGUAACACUAACUGGAGGACCGAACCGACUAAUGUUGAAAAAUUAGCGGAUGACUUGUGGCUGGGGGUGAAAGGCCAAUCAAACCGGGAGAUAGCUGGUUCUCCCCGAAAGCUAUUUAGGUAGCGCCUCGUGAAUUCAUCUUCGGGGGUAGAGCACUGUUUCGGCUAGGGGGU
This 717-nucleotide ribosomal RNA is filed under the name Klebsiella pneumoniae. Its description in RNAcentral is "partial 23S ribosomal RNA". It matches the Rfam family "Bacterial large subunit ribosomal RNA", at positions 167 to 927 of the family's 2925-position model. Lineage: Bacteria; Pseudomonadati; Pseudomonadota; Gammaproteobacteria; Enterobacterales; Enterobacteriaceae. The record is from RNAcentral.